AGAGUUUGAUCCUGGCUCAGGAUGAACGCUGGCGGCGUGCUUAACACAUGCAAGUCGAACGAAGCACUUGAGAUUGAUUCUUCGGAUGACGUCUUUUGUGACUUAGUGGCGGACGGGUGAGUAACGCGUGGGUAACCUGCCUCACACAGGGGGAUAACAGUUAGAAAUGACUGCUAAUACCGCAUAACCCGAUAGGAUCGCAUGAUCCAGACGGAAAAGAUUUAUCGGUGUGAGAUGGACCCGCGUCUGAUUAGCUAGUUGGUGAGGUAACGGCCCACCAAGGCGACGAUCAGUAGCCGGCCUGAGAGGGUGAACGGCCACAUUGGGACUGAGACACGGCCCAAACUCCUACGGGAGGCAGCAGUGGGGAAUAUUGCACAAUGGGGGAAACCCUGAUGCAGCGACGCCGCGUGAGUGAAGAAGUAUUUCGGUAUGUAAGGCUCUAUCAGCAGGGAAGAAAAUGACGGUACCUGACUAAGAAGCCCCGGCUAACUACGUGCCAGCAGCCGCGGUAAUACGUAGGGGGCAAGCGUUAUCCGGAUUUACUGGGUGUAAAGGGAGCGUAGACGGUCAAGCAAGUCAGAAGUGAAAGGCUGGGGCUCAACCCCGGGACUGCUUUUGAAACUGUUUGACUGGAGUGCUGGAGAGGUAAGCGGAAUUCCUAGUGUAGUGGUGAAAUGCGUAGAUAUUAGGAGGAACACCAGUGGCGAAGGCGGCUUACUGGACAGUAACUGACGUUGAGGCUCGAAAGCGUGGGGAGCAAACAGGAUUAGAUACCCUGGUAGUCCACGCUGUAAACGAUGAAUACUAGGUGUGGGGGGACUGACCCCCUCCGUGCCGCAGUUAACACAAUAAGUAUUCACCUGGGGAGUACGGCCGCAAGGUUGAAACUCAAAGGAAUUGACGGGGGCCCGCACAAGCAGUGGAUUAUGUGGUUUAAUUCGAAGCAACGCGAAGAACCUUACCAGGGCUUGACAUCCAACUAACGAAGCAGAGAUGCAUUAGGUGCCCUUCGGGGAAAGUUGAGACAGGUGGUGCAUGGUUGUCGUCAGCUCGUGUCGUGAGAUGUUAGGUUAAGUCCCGCAACGAGCGCAACCCCUAUUGUUAGUUGCUACGCAAGAGCACUCUAGCGAGACUGCCGUUGACAAAACGGAGGAAGGUGGGGACGACGUCAAAUCAUCAUGCCCCUUAUAUCCUGGGCUACACACGUAAUACAAUGGCGGUCAACAGAGGGAAGCAAAGCCGCGAGGCAGAGCAAACCCCCAAAAGCCGUCCCAGUUCGGAUUGUAGGCUGCAACUCGCCUGCAUGAAGUCGGAAUCGCUAGUAAUCGCGGAUCAGCAUGACGCGGUGAAUACGUUCCCGGGCCUUGUACACACCGCCCGUCACACCAUGAGAGUCGGGAACACCCGAAGUCUGUAGCCUAACCAGCAAUGGAGGGCGCGGCCGAAGGUGGGUUCGAUAAUUGGGGUGAAGUCGUAACAAGGUA
Molecule: ribosomal RNA, 1487 nt
Filed under: metagenome
Description: bacterial SSU rRNA
Rfam family: Bacterial small subunit ribosomal RNA
Source: RNAcentral